This 212-nucleotide long non-coding RNA is filed under the name Malus domestica (apple). RNAcentral describes it as "long non-coding RNA (MDOM_LNC010394)". The record is from RNAcentral. Lineage: Eukaryota; Viridiplantae; Streptophyta; Magnoliopsida; Rosales; Rosaceae.
GAAAGCGUUCCUAUACGACUCAAUUGAAUCAUAAAAGAGCGAAUAAUCACAUUAGGGGUUUGACAUGAUAUAUCCAUACCCUAGUAAUGUGAUUGAGAGUAUUGUUUUAGAGAAGGAUCGAAUUACAUUGUAAUUCCAAUUGAAUAGGUUCUCCGAACAACUUCUACAUUAGCUUGGGUAGCUAUGACAUAUGGUUAGAUGUCACUCAUAGC